This 466-nucleotide ribosomal RNA is filed under the name uncultured bacterium. RNAcentral's name for it is "partial 16S ribosomal RNA". It matches the Rfam family "Bacterial small subunit ribosomal RNA", at positions 28 to 506 of the family's 1533-position model. The record is from RNAcentral.
GACGAACGCUGGCGGCGUGCUUAACACAUGCAAGUCGAACGGAAAGGCCUCUUUCGGGGGGUACUCGAGUGGCGAACGGGUGAGUAACACGUGAGUAACCUGCCCUUGACUUUGGGAUAACUUCAGGAAACUGGGGCUAAUACCGGAUAGGAGCUCCUGCUGCAUGGUGGGGGUUGGAAAGUUCCGGCGGUUGGGGAUGGACUCGCGGCUUAUCAGCUUGUUGGUGGGGUAGUGGCUUACCAAGGCUUUGACGGGUAGCCGGCCUGAGAGGGUGACCGGCCACAUUGGGACUGAGAUACGGCCCAGACUCCUACGGGAGGCAGCAGUGGGGAAUAUUGCACAAUGGGUGGAAGCCUGAUGCAGCAACGCCGUGUGCGGGAUGACGGCCUUCGGGUUGUAAACCGCUUUCGCUCAUGACGAAGCUUUGUGUGACGGUAGUGGGUAAAGAAGCACCGGCUAACUACGU